Solanum dulcamara is the source of this 98-nucleotide small nuclear RNA. The record is from RefSeq and is a predicted model, not a curated record. Lineage: Eukaryota; Viridiplantae; Streptophyta; Magnoliopsida; Solanales; Solanaceae.
GUCUCUUCGGAACAUCCAAUAAAAUUGGAACGAUAUCGAGAAGAUUAAUAAGGCCGCGCAAGAAUGACACGCACAAUCAAGAAAUAAUCCAAAAAAAA